GGAAGUAAAAAGUCGUAACAAGGUCUCCGUUGGUGAACCAGCGGAGGGAUCAUUACCGAGUUUACAACUCCCAAACCCAAUGUGAACCAUACCAAACUGUUGCCUCGGCGGGGUCACGCCCCGGGUGCGUCGCAGCCCCGGAACCAGGCGCCCGCCGGAGGGACCAACCAAACUCUUUCUGUAGUCCCCUCGCGGACGUUAUUUUUACAGCUCUGAGCAAAAAUUCAAAAUGAAUCAAAACUUUCAACAACGGAUCUCUUGGUUCUG
This 267-nucleotide unclassified non-coding RNA is filed under the name plant metagenome. RNAcentral describes it as "partial contains small subunit ribosomal RNA, internal transcribed spacer 1, and 5.8S ribosomal RNA". The stretch from base 1 to 55 matches the Rfam family "Eukaryotic small subunit ribosomal RNA", at positions 1778 to 1831 of the family's 1831-position model. The record is from RNAcentral.